Molecule: ribosomal RNA, 1372 nt
Filed under: uncultured bacterium
Lineage: Bacteria
Description: bacterial SSU rRNA
Rfam family: Bacterial small subunit ribosomal RNA
Source: RNAcentral
GAUGAACGCUGGCGGCGUGCCUAAUACAUGCAAGUCGAGCGAACAGACGAGGAGCUUACUCCUCUGACGUUAGCGGCGGACGGGUGAGUAACACGUGGAUAACCUACCUAUAAGACUGGGAUAACUUCGGGAAACCGGAGCUAAUACCGGAUAACAUGUUGAACCGCAUGGUUCAACAGUGAAAGACGGUCUUGCUGUCACUUAUAGAUGGAUCCGCGUCGCAUUAGCUAGUUGGUAAGGUAACGGCUUACCAAGGCAACGAUGCGUAGCCGACCUGAGAGGGUGAUCGGCCACACUGGAACUGAGACACGGUCCAGACUCCUACGGGAGGCAGCAGUAGGGAAUCUUCCGCAAUGGGCGAAAGCCUGACGGAGCAACGCCGCGUGAGUGAAGAAGGUCUUCGGAUCGUAAAACUCUGUUAUUAGGGAAGAACAAAUGUGUAAGUAACUAUGCACGUCUUGACGGUACCUAAUCAGAAAGCCACGGCUAACUACGUGCCAGCAGCCGCGGUAAUACGUAGGCGGCAAGCGUUAUCCGGAAUUAUUGGGCGUAAAGCGCGCGUAGGCGGUUUUUUAAGUCUGAUGUGAAAGCCCACGGCUCAACCGUGGAGGGUCAUUGGAAACUGGAAAACUUGAGUGCAGAAGAGGAAAGUGGAAUUCCAUGUGUAGCGGUGAAAUGCGCAGAGAUAUGGAGGAACACCAGUGGCGAAGGCGACUUUCUGGUCUGUAACUGACGCUGAUGUGCGAAAGCGUGGGGAUCAAACAGGAUUAGAUACCCUGGUAGUCCACGCCGUAAACGAUGAGUGCUAAGUGUUAGGGGGUUUCCGCCCCUUAGUGCUGCAGCUAACGCAUUAAGCACUCCGCCUGGGGAGUACGACCGCAAGGUUGAAACUCAAAGGAAUUGACGGGGACCCGCACAAGCGGUGGAGCAUGUGGUUUAAUUCGAAGCAACGCGAAGAACCUUACCAAAUCUUGACAUCCUCUGACCCCUCUAGAGAUAGAGUUUUCCCCUUCGGGGGACAGAGUGACAGGUGGUGCAUGGUUGUCGUCAGCUCGUGUCGUGAGAUGUUGGGUUAAGUCCCGCAACGAGCGCAACCCUUAAGCUUAGUUGCCAUCAUUAAGUUGGGCACUCUAAGUUGACUGCCGGUGACAAACCGGAGGAAGGUGGGGAUGACGUCAAAUCAUCAUGCCCCUUAUGAUUUGGGCUACACACGUGCUACAAUGGACAAUACAAAGGGUAGCGAAACCGCGAGGUCAAGCAAAUCCCAUAAAGUUGUUCUCAGUUCGGAUUGUAGUCUGCAACUCGACUACAUGAAGCUGGAAUCGCUAGUAAUCGUAGAUCAGCAUGCUACGGUGAAUACGUUCCCGGGUCU